This 388-nucleotide ribosomal RNA is filed under the name uncultured bacterium. Its description in RNAcentral is "bacterial SSU rRNA". It matches the Rfam family "Bacterial small subunit ribosomal RNA", at positions 30 to 420 of the family's 1533-position model. The record is from RNAcentral.
AUUGAACGCUGGCGGUAUGCCUUACACAUGCAAGUCGAACGGCAGCGGACCUUCGGGUGCCGGCGAGUGGCGAACGGGUGAGUAAUAUAUCGGAACGUACCUUUCAGUGGGGGAUAACGUAGCGAAAGUUACGCUAAUACCGCAUAUUCUGUGAGCAGGAAAGCAGGGGAUCGCAAGACCUUGCGCUGAUUGAGCGGCCGAUAUCAGAUUAGCUAGUUGGUGAGGUAAAGGCUCACCAAGGCGACGAUCUGUAGCGGGUCUGAGAGGAUGAUCCGCCACACUGGAACUGAGACACGGUCCAGACUCCUACGGGAGGCAGCAGUGGGGAAUAUUGCGCAAUGGGCGAAAGCCUGACGCAGCCAUACCGCGUGUGUGAAGAAGGCCUCGG